RNAcentral lists this transfer RNA (76 nucleotides) under Mycoplasmataceae bacterium. RNAcentral's name for it is "tRNA-Val". It matches the Rfam family "tRNA". Rfam says of the family: Transfer RNA (tRNA) molecules are approximately 80 nucleotides in length. Their secondary structure includes four short double-helical elements and three loops (D, anti-codon, and T loops). The record is from RNAcentral. Lineage: Bacteria; Bacillati; Mycoplasmatota; Mollicutes; Mycoplasmatales; Mycoplasmataceae.
GGAGUGUUAGCUCAGCCGGGAGAGCAUCUGCCUUACAAGCAGAGGGUCGGGGGUUCGAUCCCCUCACACUCCACCA